UAUGUCACUGCUUGUAGGAUCAAAAUUUCAUACCCAUUUCAGUGGGGUACGCCAAUAUUUAGGGCUAGCCAUGUGUUCGGGAUGAUAGGUGCUGCACUUGUUUCAUCUGCUGAGUCAACUGGAACAUUUUUCGCUGCAGCUCGGCUUUCUGGUGCCACAGCCCCCCAGCACAUGUACUCGGCAGAAGUAUUGGGUUACUGGGCCUUGGUAUGCUGCUUGAAGGGGUUUUUGGUUCUCUUGUUGGUACUACUGCAUCCGUUGAAAAUGUUGGCCUUCUUGGGCUUACGCAUAUAGGAAGCAGAAGGGUUGUGCAGAUUUCAACUGCUUUCAUGAUAUUUUUCUCUCCAUAUUUGGUUUGUUUUUUCUACUUUCUGAUUAAUUGCAUUGAAAAAUUUGCCAUA
Long non-coding RNA from Hibiscus syriacus, 401 nucleotides. RefSeq lists it as uncharacterized. The record is from RefSeq and is a predicted model, not a curated record. The transcript has 4 exons. NCBI's taxonomy places the organism in Eukaryota, Viridiplantae, Streptophyta, Magnoliopsida, Malvales, Malvaceae.